GCCCGCCUAGCUCAAUAGAGCGUCAGACUUUUAUAUCAACUGUUAACAUUGAAAUCUGAAGGCUGCGAGUUCGACCCUCGCGGUGGGCU
Non-coding RNA from Rhodocollybia butyracea, 89 nucleotides. The record is from the annotation of a GenBank genome assembly. Lineage: Eukaryota; Fungi; Basidiomycota; Agaricomycetes; Agaricales; Omphalotaceae.